GAUUGUAGUCUGCAACUCGACUACAUGAAGCUGGAAUCGCUAGUAAUCGCGGAUCAGAAUGCCGCGGUGAAUACGUUCCCGGGUCUUGUACACACCGCCCGUCACACCAUGGGAGUCAGUAACGCCCGAAGCCGGUGACCCAACCAGACUUGGAGGGAGCCGUCGAAGGCGGGACGGAUGACUGGGGUGAAGUCGUAACAAGGUAGC
This 207-nucleotide ribosomal RNA is filed under the name uncultured bacterium. Its description in RNAcentral is "partial 16S ribosomal RNA". It matches the Rfam family "Bacterial small subunit ribosomal RNA", at positions 1296 to 1500 of the family's 1533-position model. The record is from RNAcentral.